CAAAGGAGCAAUCCGCUGAAAGAUGGGCUCGCGUCCGAUUAGGUAGUUGGUGAGGUAACGGCCCACCAAGCCGACGAUCGGUAGCCGGACUGAGAGGUUGGACGGCCACAUUGGGACUGAGACACGGCCCAGACUCCUACGGGAGGCAGCAGUAAGGGAUAUUGGUCAAUGGGGGAAACCCUGAACCAGCAACGCCGCGUGAGGGAAGACGGUUUUCGGAUUGUAAACCUCUGUCCUCUGUGAAGAUGAUGACGGUAGCAGAGGAGGAAGCUCCGGCUAACUACGUGCCAGCAGCCGCGGUAAUACGUAGGGAGCGAGCGUUGUCCGGAUUUACUGGGUGUAAAGGGUGCGUAGGCGGCUGUGCAAGUCAGUAGUGAAAUCCAUGGGCUUAACCCAUGAACUGCUAUUGAAACUGCACAGCUUGAGUGAAGUAGAGGUAGGCGGAAUUCCCGGUGUAGCGGUGAAAUGCGUAGAGAUCGGGAGGAACACCAGUGGCGAAGGCGGCCUACUGGGCUUUAACUGACGCUGAGGCACGAAAGCGUGGGUAGCAAACAGGAUUAGAUACCCUGGUAGUCCACGCUGUAAACGAUGAUUACUAGGUGUGGGGGG
RNAcentral lists this ribosomal RNA (609 nucleotides) under uncultured bacterium. RNAcentral's name for it is "bacterial SSU rRNA". It matches the Rfam family "Bacterial small subunit ribosomal RNA", at positions 202 to 829 of the family's 1533-position model. The record is from RNAcentral.